GACUCAACGCGGGAAUCUUACCGGGUCCGGACACACUGAGGAUUGACAGGUUCCGAGAGAUUUUUGCAUUUUGCAAAUUCUCUCUUAAAUAUGCUAGUCCUUUCAUGAUUAUGUGAUAGGUGGUGCAUGGCCGUUCUUAGUUCGUGGAGUGAUCUGUCUGCUUAAUUGCGUUUCACUAAAGGCGUCAUAUCAUUUUUGUGCUUGUGUUUGACCCCUCUUUUCGGAGAGCGCGUGUCUUCACACACAAUUACCUUGGCGUCUGAAAGCAACGAACGUGACCGUAACCUCUUGUUGCCUUCUUUUCUUUAUUGAAUGCUGUUUCAUUUGUUUACGAAUGCUCAGUAUAUGGAGGCUUUUUUUACCAACAACUAGAGGGACCGCUGUUACUUUCUUUAAACCAGAGGAAGGUUGCGGCAAUAACAGGUCUGUGAUGCCCUUAGAUGUUCCGGGCUGCACACGUGAUACAUUGAUUACUUCAGUGAGUAUCUACGUUUUAACUGCGUGGCUUUACAAAUUUUUAUUUUCUUCGGAAGGUAAUUUUUUGUUUGCCGCCUCAACCUGCUUCGAAAGUAUGUGGGUAACCAAUUAGAAGUAGUGAUUUCCUUUUUUUUAUAAGCACACUUAUAUGGAGCAUCAUCACCCGGCAUACCUUGUUGUAUGUUUUUGUGUGUGUUGUUUGCUUUUCCAUGUGCUUUUGUCAAUUCAUAGUGGGGACAGACCAUUGUUAAUUGUUGGUCUCGGUCUUAACUAGGAAUGCCUUGUACGAGUUUUUGGUUCAA
This 779-nucleotide ribosomal RNA is filed under the name Elphidium sp. S13. RNAcentral's name for it is "SSU rRNA". The stretch from base 1 to 558 matches the Rfam family "Eukaryotic small subunit ribosomal RNA", at positions 1197 to 1604 of the family's 1831-position model. The record is from RNAcentral. Lineage: Eukaryota; Foraminifera; Rotaliida; Elphidiidae.